CCGGGACCCGCUCCAGGCAGGGCCGGGGGAGAGACCCAGCUCCAAAUCAGGCCCCUGAAGCUUGCUUGUAAAUAACUGUACAAGGCCUGGUGGGAAUGGAAUGUCCUGCCCAGCUCUAACAGCUUAAAAUAGAUGGGUCCAACUGUAACACUGGAUGUGAAACUACGCUCUCCUCCCAAGGAGUCCAGCUCUGGACCCACACUCCACAUCAGGAACAAUGGAACUGUUCGCUGCUAGCAUGAGUGCCUCUAUAUUCUUGAGACGGAAAUUUUUCAGCAGCAUCGACACAGCUAUGGAACUCACACAGGAUCUGAAAGCAAUUUCUCCUUCUCCUUUGCAUACAAACCUGUGGAAGAUCCAUCCUGCUACCAACAUGAUAAACUGAGGCUGUUUAAAAUUGGUACUGAGUAGAUGCAAAUCUAUAUUUUCAGAUUUUUGUAAUGACAGAAUUUCCUAUGUAAAAAUAACAUUUCCAAUAGUUUGCUUCCAAAGGCAAGACAGGGAUUCUAUUGGAGUUACACACAUGAUAGUUUAAGAGCCAAACUGUGCAUCGUCUUACCCAGACAAAACUCCCAUUGCCUUCAAUAAAAACUUUGCCUGAGUAAAGAAUGCAGGAUUUGGCUGUAAAUAAGACCCAAUCGUGCAAAGUGCUGGUUUGCACCUUUACUGUACUAAUUAAUGUCUAUUGACUUACUUGGGUUAUAUAACAAACAUCCUGCAACUAAAGUUGACCUUCUUCUAUACCUCCAACUAUAGAUUGCUGCCAGAUCCAUUAUUCCAGUCCAAUAGUGGAAGUCUAUCAACUCUCUUUUGGGUUUGGCAAAGUGUGAGAGAUUGUUGUCAUGGAAAAAAACUUACUAAUGUAAAAUACAGAAAAAAUAUCUGUUGGUCUUAUCAAAUAUGAUGGUUCUAAUAUAUAAGCAGCCAAACUACCUA
This is a long non-coding RNA of Trachemys scripta elegans, 936 nucleotides long. RefSeq lists it as uncharacterized. Lineage: Eukaryota; Metazoa; Chordata; Testudines; Emydidae. The record is from RefSeq and is a predicted model, not a curated record. The transcript is spliced from 4 exons.